GGCAACGGCCAUACCACGUUGAAAGCACCGGUUCUCGUCCGAUCACCGAAGUCAAGCAACAUUGGGCGCGGUCAGUACUUGGAUGGGUGACCGCUUGGGAACACCGCGUGCUGUUGGCA
RNAcentral lists this ribosomal RNA (119 nucleotides) under Neodiprion pinetum (white pine sawfly). Lineage: Eukaryota; Metazoa; Arthropoda; Insecta; Hymenoptera; Diprionidae. The record is from RNAcentral.